Arachis duranensis is the source of this 530-nucleotide long non-coding RNA. RefSeq lists it as uncharacterized. The transcript is spliced from 4 exons. NCBI's taxonomy places the organism in Eukaryota, Viridiplantae, Streptophyta, Magnoliopsida, Fabales, Fabaceae. The record is from RefSeq and is a predicted model, not a curated record.
CAAUAUUCCCCUUCCAUGCAACUGGACUGUACUAUGAUAGUGUUUCUACCACCUAGGGAAUUAGAAUGCUUCUCACGCUUCCCUUUCUCUUAGCGUUUCGUCUUUGAUUCUAGCUAAUCGUUGUUUAUGCUUCUUACAGGGUGCAGUAAGGUUUGAUCUUCUUGUCUAAUAAUCACAACAAUAGCGAAAAAUGGUAAUUCAUAUUGAGAAGUAGCGAAAUAGCAACCUUUGCUACCAUCUUCAAUUUCAGGAAGCUAAUGAAGAAUCAAAAGCCGUUACAAAAGUAUCUGCUAUGAAAGGACAUUAUGUGUGGCUGAAACUUAAUACUCUAUGAUCACCGACGGAAAUGCAACAUCAUUUUCAGCUAUCAAGAAGAGGAUGGAGAAGGAUAUUGAUGAAGUUAGAAGGAUUGAACAUGGUGUCAAAACAAAAGUAGAAGCUGUAAACAGAGAUGUAAUGAGAUGAAAUAAUGACUUGAUCUUUUAGUAGAUUUUCGUCCUGAAAUUUCAAACAUAUGAGGAAUUUUUAUA